RNAcentral lists this ribosomal RNA (253 nucleotides) under uncultured bacterium. Its description in RNAcentral is "partial 16S ribosomal RNA". It matches the Rfam family "Bacterial small subunit ribosomal RNA", at positions 524 to 776 of the family's 1533-position model. The record is from RNAcentral.
UACGGGGGGAGCAAGCGUUGUUCGGAUUUACUGGGCGUAAAGGGCGCGUAGGCGGUAGCACAAGUCAGUUGUGAAAUCUCCGGGCUUAACUCGGAAAGGUCAACUGAUACUGUGCGACUAGAGUGCAGAAGGGGCAACUGGAAUUCUCGGUGUAGCGGUGAAAUGCGCAGAUAUCGAGAGGAACACCUGCGGCGAAGGCGGGUUGCUGGGCUGACACUGACGCUGAGACGCGAAAGCGUGGGGAGCAAACAGG